CUUGAGGCUGGCUGACCCAUGUAAAAAUAGACUCAAACUCUGGACUUCAAUCCCCACAAGCCCUUGCUCCACUUCCCCAAAAUGCUUUGUAAUCUCACGGGAAUUCUCAGGUGGGCCGAGAUCGAAAAGGGAUUUAACCUGAUGGCAGAGGCUUUUGACUCUCUUUUGGACUUCUGUUUUUGGAGCAGACGUGGCUCUUUCCAUAAUGUAGUGUUGGAGAGAGAGGUACAAUGGCCUCCUUUCUGAGCCAAUGGUGACAUUUCUGAGCUCCAGGCCCUGCUAGGAGAGGAGAGGAGAGAAAAGAAGAGGCAUCUGAAGAGGAGAAAGUUGGAGGCCCAAGAGAGGACCAGAUAAAGGACCAAAAUAAAGGAAGCAAUGAGAGGAGCACAACAUGGGGGAACUGAUCUAAAGCUAUCAAGCAGGCUCUGCAAGUGUUUGCUGGGGCUCAUGCAUAUUGCAAAAGGGCUAUUUCUUGAAACACCUUUCCUUCUGGCUCCCUCCACCAGCCCCUGGAUCUGGUCUCACCUGGCCCAGCCUGUUCCUACCUUUAAAGGGAGGCUCAUCUGGAGUUUCCUUGGCAGGGGUCCUGGAGGGUCGGCCAUUUCCCUGAGGCCAACAGGGCUGAUGAGGGUCUGUGGCCCUUCUGAGGCCCUCCUGACACUGCUGAAUGAUUAAAUCUCAAAUCUCUGGCCUUCCUUUCUCUCCCAAGUUUUAUUUUCAUGCUCAGCUCCUGGAGGGCUGGGGGAGGAGCUCAGUCUGUUAUGUGAGGGUCACAAAGCUCAUCUUCCCCUUAGCUCUCUCCAUCAGCCUGGCCUAUCAUAGGCCUUUCACUGUGGAGUCAUCUGUGCCCUCAGGCUCUGGUCAGGCGCCAAGUCUUGGUUUGCCCGGUGGGAUGCUGCCUGGGUAGCUUCCAAGCAAAGAGGGCUGAUCCUGCUUGUUUUCCUCCUGAAUUUCCUCACCCAUGCCCCAGCAGAGGGUAAGUCACUGAAGGUAGGGCCUGCUUGCUGGUCUCUGUAUCCCUAUGAGAUCCUGGAGGCGCUGCCGCCACAGUGGGCUCAGUGUAGCCUGGCUGUGGGACUUGGAGUCUAUCAUAUCAGAACGAGUGGAAAAUACAAGCAAACUGAUGAGUAUAUCUUGGCACGUUGUGAUCCUCUGGGCUGGCUGUCCUACACUUUCAUAAUUUGCUAAGAAAAUGGAUGAUGUAAAGGAGAUAAUAGGGCAGUAGAAGAGGCCAUGAUGAAGACUGCUCACUUAAUGUACAUGAAUACUGCUGCCAGGUAGAAGAGAAUUUUAAUUUAGUUAUUAAAGUGGGCCCAUUUCUGGGGAUGCUUUAAAUCAGCAACAUUAUAUAGUCUUAAAUAUUUCUCUCUGAUGAACUAACCCCCCAAUUGCUUCACCAGCCCAACUGAGGUCUUUCUGUUCUUAAAAUAAAAACCCCAGGGGCAGCUGGGUAGCUGAGUGG
RNAcentral lists this long non-coding RNA (1462 nucleotides) under Monodelphis domestica (gray short-tailed opossum). RNAcentral describes it as "lncRNA (ENSMODG00000041880.1)". Lineage: Eukaryota; Metazoa; Chordata; Mammalia; Didelphimorphia; Didelphidae. The record is from RNAcentral.